GACGAACGCUGGCGGCGUGCCUAAUACAUGCAAGUUGAGCGAUGAAGAUUGGUGCUUGCACCAAUUUGAAGAGCAGCGAACGGGUGAGUAACGCGUGGGGAAUCUGCCUUUGAGCGGGGGACAACAUUUGGAAACGAAUGCUAAUACCGCAUAACAACUUUAAACAUAAGUUUUAAGUUUGAAAGAUGCAAUUGCAUCACUCAAAGAUGAUCCCGCGUUGUAUUAGCUAGUUGGUGAGGUAAAGGCUCACCAAGGCGAUGAUACAUAGCCGACCUGAGAGGGUGAGCGGCCACAUUGGGACUGAGACACGGCCCAAACUCCUACGGGAGGCAGCAGUAGGGAAUCUUCGGCAAUAGACGAAAGUCUGACCGAGCAACGCCGCGUGAGUGAAGAAGGUUUUCGGAUCGUAAAACUCUGUUGGUAGAGAAGAACGUUGGUGAGAGUGGAAAGCUCAUCAAGUGACGGUAACUACCCAGAAAGGGACGGCUAACUACGUG
RNAcentral lists this ribosomal RNA (497 nucleotides) under uncultured bacterium. RNAcentral describes it as "partial 16S ribosomal RNA". It matches the Rfam family "Bacterial small subunit ribosomal RNA", at positions 28 to 507 of the family's 1533-position model. The record is from RNAcentral.